UACUAAUGCCCGAAUUCUGAAACGUCACUCAAAUAUCUACUUUCGUAAGCAGUGCUUAUAAUUUAAGAGACGUCAAAACUUAAGUGGAAUUCACAAACGCAAAUCAAGACAUCUAAGCGCGUGAUUCCAAUGGAAUGCACCGGACAUUAUUGUUUAUUUUGAUAUUGUGAUUUACGAGAAAAUACAGGUAAGCAGAACACAGUAUAUGGGUUUUUUGGUGAAUUCAAUAACAGUUUUUAAUUUUCGGAAAAUUGGCACAUAGAAUUGAGACAUAAAACAACUUUUGGCGGUUUUAGAAGACGGAAAUGUUUCUGAAGAUGGUUUGGAAGAUGAAAGUGAAGAUGACGAAACCUUUUUAGCUUAUGCAAGAGAGAUAAUUCAAGAGAAAGAAGACGAGGAUGCAGAGGAUCAUGAAGAUCCUACCUAUAGCGAUCCACCACUGGUUCAAGAUUUUCCUGACUCAUUGAGUAAAAUUAUUUCUUCAUUAUCAAUGCAAGAAGGUCAUGAAUAUUUUGUAGUUUGAUUAAAGGAAACUUGUUUGGAAAAAAGACAGUUUGUAUGAUAUUGUAUGAUGAAUCAAAAAUAAUUCGCCAACCAAGUACAACAGACUCUGCUAUAACUGAACAUGAUACACCAUAUAAAUGUUUUUUUGCAUUACUUUACACCAGAGUUUCUUAAAAAUAUUGUUGAUGAAAUUAACUUAUAUGCAGUGCAAAAAAAACCCUUUAAUAUAUUUUAGUAUUACUGUUGGGGAGUUAAAAAAAUCUUUGGAAUUCUUUUAUUUAUGUCAGUGGAGCAUUUUCCUAGUGUUUGCUCAUACUGGCAUUCGAAGAUUGGGCACAAUCCUGUAAGGAGCGCAAUGCCGGUAAAAUAAUUGUUUCAGAGAUUUUUAUACACUGCAAUAAGCCUAACUAGUAGACCAUCGUUCAGCA
Long non-coding RNA from Papilio xuthus (Asian swallowtail), 932 nucleotides. RefSeq lists it as uncharacterized. NCBI's taxonomy places the organism in Eukaryota, Metazoa, Arthropoda, Insecta, Lepidoptera, Papilionidae. The transcript has 3 exons. The record is from RefSeq and is a predicted model, not a curated record.